RNAcentral lists this ribosomal RNA (253 nucleotides) under uncultured bacterium. Its description in RNAcentral is "partial 16S ribosomal RNA". It matches the Rfam family "Bacterial small subunit ribosomal RNA", at positions 524 to 776 of the family's 1533-position model. The record is from RNAcentral.
UACGUAGGGCGCGAGCGUUGUCCGGAAUUAUUGGGCGUAAAGAGCUCGUAGGCGGCCGGUUGCGUCUGCUGUGAAAUCCCGGGGCUUAACCCCGGGCGUGCAGUGGAUACGGGCCGGCUGGAGGCAGGCAGGGGAGAAUGGAAUUCCCGGUGUAGCGGUGAAAUGCGCAGAUAUCGGGAGGAACACCGGUGGCGAAGGCGGGUCUCUGGGCAUCUCCUGACGCUGAGGCGCGAAAGCGUGGGGAGCAAACGGG